This is a long non-coding RNA of Ctenopharyngodon idella (grass carp), 972 nucleotides long. RefSeq lists it as uncharacterized. The record is from RefSeq and is a predicted model, not a curated record. NCBI's taxonomy places the organism in Eukaryota, Metazoa, Chordata, Actinopteri, Cypriniformes, Xenocyprididae. The transcript is spliced from 5 exons.
AGCCUAAAAAAUAGAGGUUUUUUUGUCAUGAUUCCAGCGUUUGGAAAAAAUGUAUGAGACAGUUGUUGUCAGAUUUCACUGGUGAUUACAAAUAUGAAAUUUAAUCGAAAGCUUGGCAAACAGCUUUGGAGAAUUUGAUGUUUCCCCAUUCAAAGAGAUAGGAGUUGCACUUGGAUGCCCGAGAGGCGUUUCAAAGAUGGCCGCCGAGUGAAAUGACUUGUCUUAAAGGGACUUUGAUCAACUUCAAGCGACAUAAUGGUGUAAACUAUAGAAGCAGUGCAACGAAUGCUACCAGCAGCCUUUGACUACAGAAAUAGAUCUUCAGACCAGACUCGACAAAGAAACAUGUCAGUAAUCCUCCUAGGUUACAAUAUACCCUUUCCAUAAGGAUCUGGAAGAUGGCAAUUCCCUCAAACAUAAACUCAGUGGAGCUUGCACCUCUGGUUGUUGAAGAUGAGGUCAGGAAGAGCAAGGAUAGUGAGGCUAUCUGAAGGAGUUUGCAGUCAUUGGUCAGGAUGCAUCCUCGAUUGAAGGUCAUGUGAAUGGAUAUUCAUAAGAUGCAACCAAACACCUUGGUUUUCAAACUUAAUUGGCUUCUGUGUGGUGAGCUUUUAAACCCAGUGUCUUAUGCUUCACACUUCCAUGCAUACAUGAAUGGAGUAUAAUUUAACCAGGGCAAAAGAUGGACUUUCGGACCCUUGAAACAGACUAAGUCUAUGAUAAAUUGUGAUUCACAAGAAUGUUUAAAAUGUACAGUUAAAAUGAAAUGUGUAGUACUGUUUAAUGUUUUAAAGAGUUACAGGUAAUGUGUGUACUGUUUUUGGAAAUGUGAAAUUGAUCAAUAUGUAAAUGCAAUAAAUCCUGCAAUAUUGAUGACGCAUUGUGAUACAAUGUUUAAAAUGUUUUUUCUUUGAAAUCUGUGAAUGAAAUUGUGAGAUUGUAAUAUUUUUAAUGUUAUUUAAUAAAUGUUGU